Molecule: ribosomal RNA, 502 nt
Filed under: uncultured Pirellula sp.
Lineage: Bacteria; Pseudomonadati; Planctomycetota; Planctomycetia; Pirellulales; Pirellulaceae
Description: bacterial SSU rRNA
Rfam family: Bacterial small subunit ribosomal RNA
Source: RNAcentral
AGAGUUUGAUCCUGGCUCAGAACGAAUGCUGGCGGCGUGGAUUAGGCAUGCAAGUCGAACGUGUUGGGUAGCAAUACUCAAUAAGUGGCGAAAGGGUGAGUAACACGUGAGUAAUCUGCCUUUAGGAUUGGGAUAACCUCGCGAAAGCGAGGCUAAUACCGAGUGUGACCGUGUUGUCUUCGGACGAUACGGUGAAAGGAUGGCCUCUAUUUAUAAGCUAUCGCCUUUAGAUGAGCUCGCGGUAUAUUAGCUAGUUGGUAGGGUAAUGGCCUACCAAGGCUUUGAUGUAUAGCUGGCCUGAGAGGGUGGUCAGCCACACUGGGACUGAGACACUGCCCAGACACCUACGGGUGGCUGCAGUCGAGGAUCUUUCGCAAUGGGGGAAACCCUGACGAAGCGACGCCGCGUGAGCGAUGAAGGCCUUCGGGUCGUAAAGCUCUGUCACGAGGGAAGAAAAAAUUGGAAAUGAAUAAUUUCCAGUUUUGACUGUACCUCGAGAGAA